Oncorhynchus tshawytscha (Chinook salmon) is the source of this 4440-nucleotide long non-coding RNA. The record is from Ensembl. NCBI's taxonomy places the organism in Eukaryota, Metazoa, Chordata, Actinopteri, Salmoniformes, Salmonidae.
GUUUUCACCACGGUCUUUAAGUCCAGGUUGCAGGCCCGACUGUUUUCUAUGAGUAUUGCCAACCCAGACAUACUUUCCUGAGACAUUGUACAUUAUAUUGUAUGUCCAUUGCGUUGGACACAAUUUAAACUUAGUCUUGAAUGAUGUAUGCAACCACACAACUCAAACGCUGGUUCACCAGUGUGAACGAAAUCGCAAACCUCUUCUGUUCAAGCCCUCAACUUGUUGUCCAUUAAUGGUAAUCUGUUUGCAUCCGUCAAUUGAUUGGCAUUCCAGUGUCUAGACAACCUGUCCCCAGAGCUUCCUGUACAGUUAUUCUCUUUCCCGUAACGUGUUCAGGCCGGCAAUUAAGGAGAACAAGAGGCUUCAGAACUGUUGCAGAACUGCUGUAUUUGAAACACCACCCCCCCUUUCUGCCCAGUUCCCCUGGUGUUGCUACGGCAAUCAAGCUGUUUUUACCCUCCCUGUAACUGUCGCUUCCGCAGAGACAUUUCUCUUCUGAACUAAAACUCCUAAAGAAGUACCUGAGAAGCAUUAGGCUCUCGCUCUGAUAUGCGCUUCUGAACACCUGAGUAAGCACCACUCAUUGCACUGGCGCCGUCGUAGCCUUGACCACGGCAUUUGUUCACCCCUUUCAAUCAGUUAAAUAUUUUCUUUUCCAAGGCCUGAGGCACUCUUUAAGUCACAUUCCUGAAGCCCAAGAAACUAACACUUAGCUUCCUAGAACAUAUGGAAAUGAAAAAGGUUUAUGAAUGACGUUUUGGAGGUUUACUGUCAAAAUGAUUUCUUCAAUGAAACAAAUAGACGUGGACACCAGGUGGUGGGCCCUCUGAGCUCAUGGGCCCCCUACCUUGUGGGGGCCUGCUGGGGUGUCCGGUAUGCCAGUGACAUGCACACCUGCACAUACACAUUACACACACUCUCAAACUCAUUCAUAAGGAGAGGAGAUGUGGAACAUAAUGAGUUAUUCUUAUUGUGAAGACCUUCUCUCUCUCUUGAGCUCAGGUAUGUUAUUUUUGUGAACGAGAAGAGAAGCUGCAGCUGAGAGAGGAGCACCCGGACCUCCCCUUCACUGAGAUCAGCCGCAUGCUGGGGCUGCAGUGGUCCCAACUGGGCCCCAACGACAAGCAGAAGAAGAACCAAGAGGCAGAGAAGGACAAGCAGCAUGACAUCACAGGGCUGACAGACUACCAGAACACUGAGGCAUACAAAGACUUCCUGCGGAAGAAAGCCCUGAGCAGGGGACCAAAGCUCUGUGGACCCCAGGGAGCUGACACUGAGAUGGAGGAGGAGACCAUGGCUCCGGAUCCCAUAGAUAGUAACUUAACUGCUCCUCUUUCUACACAAGCCAUUCUGACCUUCACUUUGACCAGGGACGGGCAUCUUUGAUGGGGUGGGGGCCACAAAAAACGGAACUCAUCAUGAGGGGCAGCAGGGGCUCGUGUUCGUACCCCCCUCCUUACGAGCAAAACAUUUUAGCUGCCCCCUUCGUGACAGCGAAGAGUUUGUAGUUUCGUUCUUCCAAUUCUCCAAUUCUGCACAUUUUGCCAUAGGGCUGAGAGAAACAUUUGCAGUUUUACAGCUAAUUUCAUGCAAUUCUGCACAUCUUGCAAUAGGGUGGAGGCAAAUGUUUGCAGUUUUUAAUAUGAUACCUGUUGAUCAAUGGGCCUUACCCUGGUCGAUAAUUCGACCAGGCUUAAUUACUACAGCUCCCACAUUCAAAUUUAAGUUGAGACCCCGACUGAGUUCCAAAAACAAACAUGUUUUUUGGUGAAAUUGGUUCGAGGGCCUCUCUCUCUAUCCCCCUCUCUCCCUCUCCCCCACUCUCUCUCUCUGCCACCCCCUCCAUCUCUCCCCCACUCUCUCUCUCUGCCACCCCCCUCUCUCUCCCCCUCUCUCAGUCUCUCUCAGGGGUCUGACUGUAGUGAUUUGUUCUGUCAUACCUGUAAUCAGUACUUCAGCUCUCUUCUGCACAACAAGAAAGAACACCUUCUGGGCAAACAACAUCUGCAGGCCCUCACAGGUCUCUGUGCGUGUGUGUGUGUGUGUGUCUGUGUGUGUGUGUGUGCGUGCAAGGCGUGCGUACGUGCGUGCGUGCAUGCGAGUGAGGUGCAUAUCAGAUUACGUUCUAUGUGCAAGCCUUUAUCAUAUUUGGAAACUGAUGCAAUAGCAGUAUUUCACCAUUAGAUGGGUGUAUAGGACUUAGUCAGUCAGGUUCUCUUUUUAAAGUGCUGUUCAGCAUAGUUACUCCAAUGAACAGAGACACAAAUACAUUCAAAGCCAUAGUCUAUACUGUAGGAUUUUUGGAGAGUAUGGUUUUGACAUUGUGUGUGUUUCUGCUCAGAGGAGUUUGAGAAGGACACAGGCAGCCAACAGCAGGCUCCAGAGAUGGAGAGAGGCCCUGUGGAGGAGGAAGAGGAGGAUGAUGAAGAGGAGGCAGAGUUGGCUCGUACGUUGGGUCUGUCCUCGCUGGACUUCAGUGUGCUGCAGGAGCUGCUGCUCAGACACAUGAAGCGUAAGAGCUACUGACCAGCACUGACCACAUUUAUAACUUUGACACAAACAGUUUGCUGGCCUGUCAGCUCCACACCCUCACUCUGCAACCACUGCUGUUCCAAACAGACAGAGGUGACAGAGAGAAAGAGCGGGACAUGACAGAUGGAGGGAAAUAAAAAGAGAGAGACCGAAAGAGUGGGAGAGAGCGAGACAGGAAAGAGGGCAGCAGUUCUAUAAAUGAAACCUGAUUAGUAGAUUACUGCAUCCAGUUGGAGGGGAUGUGGGUGUUUACUGCUCGGGCACUUUCCAUUCACACUUUCUGUGUAGUACCUUUGCUCUUGUGUUUCUGAAUGCACACACACGCCCACACAUGUUUGGUCUUAAUGUGCUUUGUGGGGACCUACACAUAUUUUCCCCAUUCAAAAUCUGAUUUUCCUUAACCCUCAAACCUAACAUUAACCCUAACCUUAACUCAUAACCCUAACCCUAAUUCUAACCCUUACCCUAAAAUAGCCUUUGUCCUCUUGGGGACUUGGGAAAUGUCCCCACGUGGGAGAAUGUUCCUUGUUUAACUAUCCUUGUGGGGAUUUCCGGUACCCACGAGGAUAGUAAUAUAAGUACACACACACACACACACACACACGCACACACACACACACACACACACACACGUGUUCCCAUGGAUUGGGUAAUAAACUCAAGCCGGAGGUUUGGAAUAAUUUGCUUGUUAUGAGGCCAAUCCCUUUCAUUGUGCUAAUCUCCAUCAGGGUGUUAGGUCUUCGCCCAGCCAGGACAGGGAGGGUUACAGAUGGAGAACAGCGGGGCUGGAGCUAGCAUCAGUUACUUAGUGGUUCAUGGUCGAGAUCACAGUAGUGUUUUGUUCCAGACAAUAGACUCUCUGACCCUCCUAUCAGCUCUAUCAUCCUUUCCUUGUCCCCGUCAGGUGGUGACUGGUUUAAAAUGAUAGGACAGGGUCCAGCCUCAUGUUAGGUAUUCACUGUAUUGAUGUCAGCUAUUAUACAGUUCAUUCAAAUCAGGGAUCAGGAAGGAAUGGCGAUUAAGAAAAAGAGAGAUGUCGACUAUGGUAACAGAAAUAUGAUUUGUAUUCAAUAGAAAGAGUUACAGUAUUUACAGAACUGACGCAGCCCUGUCUCUAGGUAACAGGCUUCUGCAGAAACAGGCUCUGCCCAUCGCUGCCCUGACGAAUUGAUGAGCAGAGCCGCACAGGAAGAAGGGAACCUCAGGUAACCAUAGCAACCAGCCAGGGGUCGUGUGAGAACGGACAGUGACUGAGUAGAUUAACAUCUGUAUGUGUCAGCAACAUAAUGAAUGUGGCCCUAGUAUCCACUACUUUGUAGGGAAGGGAGCAGUUUUUCAGAAUGGAACCAAGCCUGAGUAUCACAGCGCCAUUUUGACAGGAGUGGUAACUUGUGACUGAGAUGCUGCUGUGAUAAUGAUGAAAGAUAGGAUUUACAUGGUGUUUUUCCAAGAGCUCAAAGAGCUUUACAUUGUAACAGGAAGCCCAGCUCAGCCAGUGUGCUCAUGUGUGAUGUAGCUCCCAGCCAGAUUGCAGUUUGGAGUGUGACUGUUUGAGGUUGUGGACAGGUGUCUUUUAUACUGAUAACACGUUCAAACAGGUGCCAUUAAUACAGGUAACGAGUGGAGGACAGAGGAGCCUCUCAAAGAAGAAGUUACAGGUCUGUGAGAGCCAGAAAUCUUGCUUGUUUGUAGGUGACCAAAUACUUAUUUUCCACCAUAAUUUGCUAAUUAAUUCAUUAAAAUUCCUACAAUGUGAUUUUCUGGAUUUUUUUCUCAUUUUCUCUGUCAUAGUUGAAGUGUACCUAUGAUGAAAAUUACAGGCCUCUCUCAUCUUUUUAAGUGGGAGAACUUGCACAAUUGGUGGCUGACUAAAUACUUUUUUGCCCCACUGUAUGUAAACUUCCG